RNAcentral lists this ribosomal RNA (392 nucleotides) under uncultured bacterium. RNAcentral describes it as "bacterial SSU rRNA". It matches the Rfam family "Bacterial small subunit ribosomal RNA", at positions 30 to 424 of the family's 1533-position model. The record is from RNAcentral.
AUUGAACGCUGGCGGCAUGCCUUACACAUGCAAGUCGAACGCGAAAGGGGGCAACCCUGAGUAGAGUGGCGCACGGGUGAGUAAUGCAUCGGAACGUGUCCUGUAGCGGGGGGAUAACCUAGCGAAAGCUAGGCUAAUACCGCAUACGUCCUGAGGGAGAAAGUGGGGGAUCGCAAGACCUCACACUAUAGGAGCGGCCGAUGCCGGAUUAGCUAGUUGGUGGGGUAAAAGCUUACCAAGGCGACGAUCCGUAGCUGGUCUGAGAGGAUGAUCAGCCACACUGGGACUGAGACACGGCCCAGACUCCUACGGGAGGCAGCAGUGGGGAAUUUUGGACAAUGGGGGAAACCCUGAUCCAGCCAUGCCGCGUGAGUGAAGAAGGCCUUCGGGUU